RNAcentral lists this long non-coding RNA (225 nucleotides) under Elaeis guineensis (African oil palm). RNAcentral's name for it is "long non-coding RNA (EGUI_LNC006153)". The record is from RNAcentral. Lineage: Eukaryota; Viridiplantae; Streptophyta; Magnoliopsida; Arecales; Arecaceae.
AUGUUGGAUGAGUACGUCCUUCAUCCUCGCUUGCCACAAGGAGAAAUUGCUUUUUCGAUCGAACCAAUUGAUCUCCAUCUUGAUUGUGCUUGUCUUUUCCAUCUUCUAUCUCGAUCAACACCAUCUUUGUCUGGACCGUCUGAUAUCACUUGUCCAUGGUAAUCAGGCUCAGAUACCACUUUUUGGGAUAGGUUCCUUAAUUGCUGAACACGGAUCACCCGUCUG